This is a long non-coding RNA of Acinonyx jubatus (cheetah), 3734 nucleotides long. RefSeq lists it as uncharacterized. The record is from RefSeq and is a predicted model, not a curated record. Lineage: Eukaryota; Metazoa; Chordata; Mammalia; Carnivora; Felidae. The transcript is spliced from 2 exons.
AAAAAUAAAACAACAGAAAAAAGAACCUACUGAUUACCAAAGAAAUCACUUUCUUGAAAACUACCUCUCAGCAAAACAGGCACUCUGCAUCUUCUCCUUAUCCUGGACACUCAAAUGAGAUUGUUCGAUUUGCAAGUCCCUCAAAAUACCUAAAUCAGGCCAGCAACAGACUCCUUAUUGAAAUUCUAUUUUUAUUUCUCCACGGACUAAAAGACACGGCUGAGCAUUCACAGGUCUGUGACCUUAGUUAUGAUUUGUUUUGCUACACACCCAUCUUUUAAUAUGUAUCUUUCAGGGAAGGCAAACAUUCUGGGUAAGUAUCAGAAGGCUGCAGCAUUCUGGGACUAUUUCACAGGAAGAGUAUGAAAAUGCUCAGGUCUCAAUUUCUUUUAUUUAAUUUUUUUAAUAUAAAAAGCAGGCAUAAAAUACAAUUACAUUACUACAAAGAUGCAACAAAAAUUUUUUAAAAAGAUCGGGGGGUACGAUUUUUGUUCAGAGGGGACAGCUGAUCAAAUAUUUACGAUUAUCUAAACCAUGCAAUUCAUAACUUAAUACAAUUCCAAACAAAACUCAUUACUAUGGGGAAGGUAAUCAGGGACAGGCCCCCCCAAGCAUAAUAUUCAGCACUGUCACACAGCGCCUAUUUUCAAAGUGCUUUGUGAAUCAACUAUGGUGUCUUCACGCCAGAGGGAAACUGGAGCCUUCUUCCAGGGGAGGAGACGUGAUUCAGUAGCAGUGUCGACACAGACCGAGAAACUCAGAAGUGACUUCCUCUCACAGAAUACUAAACAUGUUAUUUAAAGCAUGUUUCAAGAAAGUAAUACAGCGUCUAAGUUUCUCUAUUUUACCACCAGAAUCCUGUGGGAACAGAUUAACAACAGCAGCAAAAUUUCUUCAACUGUGGUUUGGCAAACCUAGAGUAUUUCUUUUUGAAGGUCUACAGAUGAACCGACACAAAAGACAUCGUUCAGAGCCAGAUUUGUGACUCCAGCACAGGUCAAUUUUAAAACACUCACCUUAUUUUAGAUUUCUCGGUAUCCUUUAGAAAGCUAAAGGCAUUUACAAAUUUCAGAUUUUUUAAAAACCUUGCUUCUAGAUAGCACGUUUUAAUACUUUUCAAAACCUCACUAUACAUUAAUUUUUACCAGUAACACCGGCACCAGUUUUCCUUCUACUUCGGUCUCGCUAUCCCCACUAAAGAAAAGUACAAAAUCCAACUAAGAAAAUCCCAGUAUUCACUACUUCUUAGUUCUCAAUAGGAGGUAUUUAUGGCUCUAGGAGAAAUCAGGUGUGAAGAAAUAAGCAACUUCCGGUCUUGCAUUUAUCCGGGAAGCUUUGGAGCCUCAAGAAAAAGAGAAGCUGGCCAAAAUCAGGUUGUUAAACCGAGUCAAUAUCGUAUUUAAUGAGUGCUGGGAAGAGGACAUUUGGAUAGGGGUAUGCAUUCAUGCACGUACAUGAAAUGAGCAAAAGGGUAAAAAGCAAACUCUUACCCAAGGUCAGAAUUUUUAUUAAGCGCAUUUCCAUUAGCUGGAGAAACGACCUAAAAACCCUUAUGUUAAACCAUAUAAUGUGAAGAAUCUCCAUGGGAGAGAUUUUUUCCCACCCCUUAGAAUACUUUCUUUUCCCCAAAAAACUUCACAUUAAUUUUCCUUGUAUAGUUGCAGCACACCAUGAUUCUCCAUAUUCUCUAAUAUAUACAGCAUUCAAAAUUUAAACUUUUGCCAUUUUUACUCAAAUAUUUCAAUUACUCAUGUGUAAACUUCAAAUUAUUUCACCUUAAUAAAGUUUAUUAAAAAUAUAUAUAUAUAUAUAUAUACUCUCCAAUUCAGAAUAAUAUGAUAGAACCUCCCAUAGUGUAACAAAAUCUUUAUAUAAAAUAUUAAUUCAGUCUCCUUUUAACAAGUCUAAUGAAUGGAAAUAUUUAUUCUAUAUAAAUUUUAUAUAGUUCUCAUUUUUAAAUCUUAAAAACAAAAAAACAAAACAAAAACAAAAACAAAACCCCAAAAAAACAAAAGCUGUGUCCCCAAGCCAGAACCGCAGAACAUCCCGGGGAGGGAAAUGGCAUGCGUGUCCGGACUCAGCACAGACAGCGUGAGAGAGCGUAGGCGGGACAAUGUGAGAAUGACAAGAUUCAGGUUUAGUCCAUCAGGCCAGAGGCCACGGUUCAAUUUCCACAACAGUGUCUAUAUUUUGGGGGUCUAACUCUUUAACCAUUUCUACACUGACCCCAAGGGGAGUCAAUGAAAAAGGUCUAUUUCCUUCACUGAAAUAUUAGAUGAUGUAUUUCAGUAUCACACCAACUCCGUAUGUAUAUAAAGAGACUAAUAAAAGACUACAUACUUUUUUCAAACUUAAUAACUUAGCAUUGAUGCAUACUGUAGCAGUAAAAAACACAUUUUUCUGGGAUAAUGAGAAAUAUGGCAGAAGUGGUCCUGCAUAACCUACAACUUUAACAUCACUUAAAAAAUAAAAAUCAAGUUAAGAGCCUUUGAGGCCACUUCUUCCUAGUCACCAGUUUUCUUAACCCAAUACUGAAAUAUUGCCAUACUCAGUUGUGUGUUUGAGGGAUCACAUUUAAAUAUUUAAAAUAUAUCUACAGUAUGUCUUAGUUUUCUUUAUAUUUGAGAUAAUCUUAGAAUCUUGAGUGUGAAAAUGUAGAAACAGUCACAAAUGUCUCUGCCAGAAAUAAAAACACAUCUAGGGUAGCCAGCAAAUUCAAAGCGAAGCAAACAUUUCCUACUCAUACACUAAUACUGAGGUCUGUAAGCAGAGUGGGAUGAAUAAUAAACAUAAAAGAUAUAUUAGUUCCAAUAUUAUCCAUUAUUGUUUCUAUCACGGGUACUUAAAAAAAAAUUCUGUUAUACAAUCAAGAUAGUCUGACACUGAUAACUAUUACAUGUAAAAAUAGUGCACUAUUUUUCUUUUGCAAAGCGAAUUUGCAUCCUAAGAGCUGGUAAACACUUUUUGUUCAAAAUACAGAAAAAGGUGAGACAUUAAAAAAAAUUAAAUUAAGGCAUUCAAAAUGGGUAAAGUUGCCUAUCAUGAAGCAUUAGGAAACUGAUAGAAUUAACUUCAAACUUCUUGUUACAGUAACUGCUUAAACAUGAUCAUGCAGCUUCCAUGGGGUAUACACAAAUGAGGGAUACAAACUUCAACGUUAUGGCUUUAUACAAGUGCAUAGUUGCAACUGCAGUUUGUUAUGAUAUCUGAUUACUGUAUGUAAAAAAAUAAAUGGGACAUUUGAAGAACCCUCUUGCAGUAAUACAGUACUAUGUAUAUGUGUGUGUGUGGGGGGGUUAUAAUGGUCACUUCUUAAAGAUGCAGUCUCCAUCACUGUAGUGGAACCCAUUCCCAGACUCUUCUGGUGAAUGUGCUGGUGAAAUCUCUCUGUUGAAGCUGAAAAGAUGAUUUCUUUAACUCUUCUCAAGCCUUUUGUGCAAUGUAGUGUGAGUGACUGCCAAGAGAGCUUCAUGGAACAACUGUGGAAGAGUUGCAUGAUAUUCUUACUCUAUUAACCAAUCACUGUUGGUUCAACAUGUUGCUCCAAAGGAGAGCAGAAAAUCUCCAAGAUUUAUAAUUUAUAUUGCAGGAAUAAAGGGAAAUGUGUGUGUGUGUGUGUGUGUGUGUGUGUGUGUGUGUGUGUGUGUAUCAGUCUCUCAGGAAAAUAUAGCUUUUUAAGAAAUUUUGGGCCAUCAUAUUUCAGUCUUGUUUUAACUGGAAGAAUAUGACCACCU